RNAcentral lists this ribosomal RNA (253 nucleotides) under uncultured bacterium. RNAcentral describes it as "partial 16S ribosomal RNA". It matches the Rfam family "Bacterial small subunit ribosomal RNA", at positions 524 to 776 of the family's 1533-position model. The record is from RNAcentral.
UACGGAGGGGGCUAGCGUUGUUCGGAAUUACUGGGCGUAAAGCGCGCGUAGGCGGACCUGCAAGUCGGGGGUGAAAGCCCGAGGCUCAACCUCGGAACUGCCUUCGAUACUGCGGGUCUCGAGUCCGGGAGAGGUGAGUGGAACUGCGAGUGUAGAGGUGAAAUUCGUAGAUAUUCGCAAGAACACCAGUGGCGAAGGCGGCUCACUGGCCCGGUACUGACGCUGAGGUGCGAAAGCGUGGGGAGCAAACAGG